This 427-nucleotide ribosomal RNA is filed under the name uncultured bacterium. RNAcentral's name for it is "bacterial SSU rRNA". It matches the Rfam family "Bacterial small subunit ribosomal RNA", at positions 83 to 507 of the family's 1533-position model. The record is from RNAcentral.
CGGUGCCGGCGAGUGGACGAACGGUGAGUAAUAUAUCGGAACGUACCUUCAGGUGGGGAAUAACGUAGCGAAAGUUACGCUAAUACCGCAUAUUCUGUGAGCAGGAAAGCAGGGGAUCGCAAGACCUUGCGCUGAUUGAGCGGCCGAUAUCAGAUUAGCUAGUUGGUGAGGUAAAGGCUCACCAAGGCGACGAUCUGUAGCGGGUCUGAGAGGAUGAUCCGCCACACUGGAACUGAGACACGGUCCAGACUCCUACGGGAGGCAGCAGUGGGGAAUUUUGGACAAUGGGCGCAAGCCUGAUCCAGCCAUGCCGCGUGAGUGAAGAAGGCCUUCGGGUUGUAAAGCUCUUCGGCCGGGAAGAAAUCGCACAGGUUAAUACCCUGUGUGGAUGACGGUACCGGAAUAAGAAGCACCGGCUAACUACGUG